Zingiber officinale is the source of this 410-nucleotide long non-coding RNA. RefSeq lists it as uncharacterized. Lineage: Eukaryota; Viridiplantae; Streptophyta; Magnoliopsida; Zingiberales; Zingiberaceae. The record is from RefSeq and is a predicted model, not a curated record. The transcript is spliced from 2 exons.
CUUUCCGGUAAGGAAAGCUUGGGGAACACAAGGAAAAGGGAGAAACCGAAGCUCUACCGAAAACCUAGGGCGCUCCUCGUGUUGUAAGUCCAAGAACCACCGCGAUACAGAUAAGAGUAAAGGAAAAGCUAAAGUGUUAUAGAGGAAGGCGACAAGGAGAUGUUGGUGGUGUGUGUGUGAUGCCGGAUAUGGAAGCUUGGGACCUUACUAGAAGAGUUUAGAAAUUGUAUUUGCUGGUGUUUAUGUUACUGUUAGAGUAGAAUUUAUUUUGCAUUACUAAUUUCGUUAUCUUCCUGUCAUUUAGUUGGAAUAACUGUUAAGCUGAGAACAUGUUCCUUUUUCCUUAUUCUGGCUUAGUUUUCAAGUUUUGUGAAGUAAGAUCAUAUCUGAUUGGAGUUUGAUUUUUUUUA